This is a long non-coding RNA of Marmota monax (woodchuck), 3240 nucleotides long. RefSeq lists it as uncharacterized. The transcript has 2 exons. Lineage: Eukaryota; Metazoa; Chordata; Mammalia; Rodentia; Sciuridae. The record is from RefSeq and is a predicted model, not a curated record.
UGGUGAUCUGUGUCGUGUGGUGCGGCGUCUUCCAGUCUUACACUAAGUCGCCACCAAGUCGGCCACCACCGACCUAACACUUCUUCCUUAUUUUUCUCCUAGCUUAUCAUUCCGUUGUUGGAAACUAGGUAUUUGAACAACGUGGGGCAGAGGCGGUGUUACUGCUGUUGACCUGUGAUGAGUCCUUGCUUCCCCAGUGUUGAAGAAUAACACCAGAGAAGCACACCAAGGCAAGGUCAGAGUGGAAAUUAGAAGUUUAUUAAAGGACAGCAGAAAAGACUUCUCCCGGAGGAAGAAGGGGACCCAAGAGGUGGAAUCCGUGGAAGUGUGGUUGUUUUCCCUUUUUAUAGUUCUGGUGAUGGAAUGUAAGGGGGAAGGAUUGGGACACAGGUGGGCCAAACAAGUAAUCUGGGCAGGAAGGACUUCAUUAACACUUCUUUGGGAUGGGCUAUCUCCAAAUCUGUUGGGGGCUGUUUCCUGGGCUCCAUUAACAUUCCUUUGGGAUGAACUUUGGGCCUAGGGGCUUUUCUUCAUUAACAUUCCAUGAGUUGUCCUGCGCUUCCGGAAUCAUUGUCAGCAUGGCCUCCAUUUUAGAUUUCAUUCGAUAUUAGACCGGAUUUACCUAACUACACUGACUACCUAAUUUUAAAUCUGGCUUCAGCCGGUGCUGGGUGGCCCACCCCCCAGUCCUCUCCCAGCUUAGUGCUUUUCCACUUGUGGGGUGACUGGCCCGGCUGUCCAGUGCUGCCGAGGCAGCCUCCUCAUGCCAUAUGCAGGCUCUUUUCUCUCAGCAAAGCCUGGACAUAAAUGGCUUCAUAGUGGAACCCAAGGUCGGGCUGGAGGUGUUUUGGGGGGCCUCUUCACGACUCUUUGGCCCCAUUUUUUCCAGCAACCUAGGGGCUGACGGUGCAGUCCCCAUCUCCAGUGACUCUGUGGACCCAGUGUAGAGGCAGAAGGACCUCACUCGGGGUCUUGAGAAUCCUAAUCCCAGACACAGAUGUAGAUACUUUUAGAUCAGUGUUGGAAGGAGGCCGUGAGGCGGGGCUUAGAGCAAACUGUUGCUCUUUACCAGGUAGUAAAUAUUCCUUCGGGGGAAAUUCUGCUGGAGCUGAGAACAGGUGCAGGAGCCUCGGGACUGCAGAAACUGAAGGAAAGAGUGUAACACGUAGUGAAAACGUCCAUGGAGGCCGAGAGUGCAUGAUCUGGACGGGUCUGGAGGCCUGGGCACUGCAUGCUUGGCUACCUGCUCCCCAGUCCAGGUAGCAGCAGGCCCUUUCCACUGAGCCUCCGCAUCCCCUGAGGAGGCUCCCUGUGCUGCUUUCACUCUAGUUUUCCUUCUGUUCCCCGGGAUCUGCCUUCCACAGGACUCCCGCUAUGAUGGAGAGCAAGCUGGGCCUCGCGCCUGGGUCUGGAGUCCUCUGCUAGCAGGCUUCUCUCAAUCUGGCUGGGAGCUGGCAUCCCCCUCCGGAGAUGAGCACUCAGUGCCCGGGGAAGUGGCAGCCUCCGUCUCCUCUCUUGGCCCUCCUGAGGAACUCAUGACCUCCUGGGCUGGCCCCUGCAUUCCCAGUCCCACUGUGGGGGCGGAGGGGCUGCCCUCGCCUGGAGCUGCCUCAUCAGCAGGUGGCUGGGCAAGACCAGCAAGGCCACCCCUGCGGGAGGACGUGAGGACACGUACACAGGGAGAGUCUGUGCUCCUGGCUGGGCCACCCGAGGGGAGCUUCCACCCUUGCCUGGGGGGCAGGGAGGAGCUGGCCUUGGUGCAAAUACCACAGACUCUUUGCAGUUCUCUGUGAGUUUCAGUCAACAUUCUUGAGUAAAUAUUUCUUCGUUUGCUCUCUCCACUUAGUUCAGUUUCCAAAGAAUUAAAAUAGUUGUUUUUUUUUUUUUUGAAGAGAGAGAGAGAAUUUUAAUAUUUAUCUUUUUUUUUUCCAGUUCUCAGCGGAUACAACAUCUUUGUUUGUAUGUGGUGCUGAGGAUCGAACCUGGGCCGCACGCAUGCUAGUCGAGCACGCUACCGCUUGAGCCACAUCCCCCAGCCCAAAAUAGUUGUUUUUAAAAUGACUUUCAGGCUGAGUGUGGUGGAGCACCCUGUGAUCCCAGCAACUCAGGAGGCUGAGGCUGGAGGAUGGGCAGCUGCAGGGGAACCAGAGAAGGUGGACACAGGCCAGGCCUUGGGCCAGCUGCUCAGCAUCACACUCUUUUGUGGCCUGCUGGUGACAGUGACGUGGGACUUGCUUCCAGUGCUCAAUGCUUCGCCCACAGUGACUGAUGUCAGCCCAUGGAGGCCAAGGAGGGAAUAAUCACUGAGCUUGGCAGGUCUGGGACCUGAACCGGCAGCUGGCCUCUCACUGCCGAGCAGCAACAAGAAUACUGCAUUGGGCUCCCUCAUCACUGGGGCAAAUAACCUGGGCACCGUCCUCGAGGAGCAGCAGGAUGGGAUGCUGUGCCCACAAGGAAAGGUUGGGUGGGCACCAGGCUCUGAGAUUCCCCUGGACACGCCUCACGCCCGCACAGGGCCCAGCUCUGCAGGACAGCGCGGGUCCCCACGGUCUUAUACGGGUUCCCAACCAGCUUUGGCUGGGCCACCAUGUUAUAUGAACUUCUUUUCUUUUUGCCAAGGAAUCUUGGGACAGUCAUCUCAGGUUAGGAGGGACGUACUGGUCUUUGGGCCCCAUGUUGGGCUUCGCUGGGCGGGGAAAGGAGGGUUCUUUCUCCAGACGAGGGGGCUCAUCAGCCCACUUCAUUGAGGGCCAGCAACAGAAUCUGACCCAGGAUAACUUAGUGUUACCGCUGUUGACCGGUGACGAGUCUUUGCUUCCCCAAUGUUGAAGAAUAACACCAGAGAAGCACACCAAGGCAAGGUCAGAGUAGAAAUUAGAAGUUUAUUAAAGGACAGCAGAAAAGACUUCUCCCGGAGGAAGAAGGGGACCCAAGAGGUGGAAUCCGUGGAAGUGCCAUUGUUUCACCUUUUUAUAGUUUUGGUGAUGGAAUGUAGGGGGGAAGGGUUGGGACACAGGUGGGCCAAACAAGUAAUCUGGGCAGGAAGGACUUCAUUAACACUUCUUUGGGAUGGGCUAUCUCCAAAUCUGUUGGGGCUCUUCAUUAACAUUCCUUUGGGAUGGACUUUGGGCCUUGGGACUUCAUUAUUAUUCCAUGAGUUGUCCUGCUUUUGUUUCCCAGAAUCAUUCUCAACAUGGCCUCCAUUUUAGAUUUCACUGAUAUUAGAGCCGAUUUACCUAA